Molecule: ribosomal RNA, 427 nt
Filed under: uncultured bacterium
Lineage: Bacteria
Description: bacterial SSU rRNA
Rfam family: Bacterial small subunit ribosomal RNA
Source: RNAcentral
UGGGGAAUUUUGGACAAUGGGCGAAAGCCUGAUCCAGCAAUGCCGCGUGCAGGAUGAAGGCCCUCGGGUUGUAAACUGCUUUUGUACGGAACGAAAAGCCUGGGGCUAAUAUCCCCGGGUCAUGACGGUACCGUAAGAAUAAGCACCGGCUAACUACGUGCCAGCAGCCGCGGUAAUACGUAGGGUGCAAGCGCUAAUCGGAAUUACUGGGCGUAAAGCGUGCGCAGGCGGUUUUGUAAGACAGAGGUGAAAUCCCCGGGCUCAACCUGGGAACUGCCAUUGUGACUGCAAAGCUAGAGUGCGGCAGAGGGGGAUGGAAUUCCGCGUGUAGCAGUGAAAUGCGUAGAUAUGCGGAGGAACACCGAUGGCGAAGGCAAUCCCCUGGGCCUGUACUGACGCUCAUGCACGAAAGCGUGGGGAGCAAACA